CAUGCAGUCGAACGAUGAAGGAGUGCUUGCACUCUGGAUUAGUGGCGAACGGGUGAGUAACACGUGAGCAACCUGCCCCUCACUCUGGGAUAAGCGCUGGAAACGGCGUCUAAUACUGGAUACGAGACGCAACCGCAUGGUUAGCGUCUGGAAAGAUUUUUUGGUGGGGGAUGGGCUCGCGGCCUAUCAGCUUGUUGGUGAGGUAAUGGCUCACCAAGGCGUCGACGGGUAGCCGGCCUGAGAGGGUGACCGGCCACACUGGGACUGAGACACGGCCCAGACUCCUACGGGAGGCAGCAGUGGGGAAUAUUGCACAAUGGGCGGAAGCCUGAUGCAGCAACGCCGCGUGAGGGAUGACGGCCUUCGGGUUGUAAACCUCUUUUAGCAGGGAAGAAGCGAGAGUGACGGUACCUGCAGAAAAAGCACCGGCUAACUACGUGCCAGCAGCCGCGGUAAUACGUAGGGUGCAAGCGUUAUCCGGAAUUAUUGGGCGUAAAGAGCUCGUAGGCGGUUUGUCGCGUCUGCUGUGAAAUCYSGAGGCUCAACCUCGGGCCUGCAGUGGSUACGGGCAGACUAGAGUGCGGUAGGGGAGAUUGGAAUUCCUGGUGUAGCGGUGGAAUGCSCAGAUAUCAGGAGGAACACCGAUGGCGAAGGCAGAUCUGUGGGSCGUAACUGACGCUGAGGAGUGAAAGGGUGGGGAGCAAACAGGCUUAGAUACCCUGGUAGUCCACCCCGUAAACGUUGGGAUCUAGUUGUGGGGUCCUUUCCACGGAUUCCGUGACGCAGCUAACGCAUUAAGUUCCCCGCCUGGGGAGUACGGCCGCAAGGCUAAAACUCAAAGGAAUUGACGGGGACCCGCACAAGCGGCGGAGCAUGCGGAUUAAUUCGAUGCAACGCGAAGAACCUUACCAAGGCUUGACAUACACCAGAACACCGUAGAAAUACGGGACUCUUUGGACACUGGUGAACAGGUGGUGCAUGGUUGUCGUCAGCUCGUGUCGUGAGAUGUUGGGUUAAGUCCCGCAACGAGCGCAACCCUCGUUCUAUGUUGCCAGCACGUAAUGGUGGGAACUCAUGGGAUACUGCCGGGGUCAACUCGGAGGAAGGUGGGGAUGACGUCAAAUCAUCAUGCCCCUUAUGUCUUGGGCUUCACGCAUGCUACAAUGGCCGGUACAAAGGGCUGCAAUACCGUGAGGUGGAGCGAAUCCCAAAAAGCCGGUCCCAGUUCGGAUUGUAGUCUGCAACUCGACUACAUGAAGUCGGAGUCGCUAGUAAUCGCAGAUCAGC
RNAcentral lists this ribosomal RNA (1287 nucleotides) under Microbacterium sp. Its description in RNAcentral is "bacterial SSU rRNA". It matches the Rfam family "Bacterial small subunit ribosomal RNA", at positions 54 to 1353 of the family's 1533-position model. Lineage: Bacteria; Bacillati; Actinomycetota; Actinomycetes; Micrococcales; Microbacteriaceae. The record is from RNAcentral.